AUUGAACGCUGGCGGCAUGCCUUACACAUGCAAGUUGAACGGCAGCGCGGACUUCGGUCUGGCGGCGAGUGGCGAACGGGUGAGUAAUACAUCGGAACGUACCCUGUUGUGGGGGAUAACUAGUCGAAAGAUUAGCUAAUACCGCAUACGACCUGAGGGUGAAAGUGGGGGACCGCAAGGCCUCACGCAGCAGGAGCGGCCGAUGUCUGAUUAGCUAGUUGGUGGGGUAAAGGCCCACCAAGGCGACGAUCAGUAGCUGGUCUGAGAGGACGACCAGCCACACUGGGACUGAGACACGGCCCAGACUCCUACGGGAGGCAGCAGUGGGGAAUUUUGGACAAUGGGGGCAACCCUGAUCCAGCAAUGCCGCGUGUGUGAAGAAGGCCUUCGGGUUGUAAAGCACUUUUGUCCGGAAAGAAAUCGCGCUGGUUAAUACCUGGCGUGGAUGACGGUACCGGAAGAAUAAGCACCGGCUAACUACGUG
This 484-nucleotide ribosomal RNA is filed under the name uncultured bacterium. RNAcentral's name for it is "partial 16S ribosomal RNA". It matches the Rfam family "Bacterial small subunit ribosomal RNA", at positions 30 to 507 of the family's 1533-position model. The record is from RNAcentral.